RNAcentral lists this ribosomal RNA (550 nucleotides) under uncultured bacterium. Its description in RNAcentral is "bacterial SSU rRNA". It matches the Rfam family "Bacterial small subunit ribosomal RNA", at positions 355 to 896 of the family's 1533-position model. The record is from RNAcentral.
UAGGGAAUCUUCGGCAAUGGACGGAAGUCUGACCGAGCAACGCCGCGUGAGUGAAGAAGGUUUUCGGAUCGUAAAGCUCUGUUGUAAGAGAAGAACGAGUGUGAGAGUGGAAAGUUCACACUGUGACGGUAUCUUACCAGAAAGGGACGGCUAACUACGUGCCAGCAGCCGCGGUAAUACGUAGGUCCCGAGCGUUGUCCGGAUUUAUUGGGCGUAAAGCGAGCGCAGGCGGUUAGAUAAGUCUGAAGUUAAAGGCUGUGGCUUAACCAUAGUAGGCUUUGGAAACUGUUUAACUCGAGUGCAAGAGGGGAGAGUGGAAUUCCAUGUGUAGCGGUGAAAUGCGUAGAUAUAUGGAGGAACACCGGUGGCGAAAGCGGCUCUCUGGCUUGUAACUGACGCUGAGGCUCGAAAGCGUGGGGAGCAAACAGGAUUAGAUACCCUGGUAGUCCACGCUGUAAACGAUGAGUGCUAGGUGUUAGACCCUUUCCGGGGUUUAGUGCCGUGGCUAACGCAUUAAGCACUCCGCCUGGGGAGUACGACCGCAAGGUUG